This is a long non-coding RNA of Myotis myotis, 897 nucleotides long. RefSeq lists it as uncharacterized. The transcript has 3 exons. NCBI's taxonomy places the organism in Eukaryota, Metazoa, Chordata, Mammalia, Chiroptera, Vespertilionidae. The record is from RefSeq and is a predicted model, not a curated record.
UUUCCUUUUAAUUGAGUUGAAGAAACUCUGAACACAAAUGCCUUAAUCACUUGUGAAGAGGUAAUGAAAUGUUAAAUGAGAUCCAUCAAGGUUUGACUGGAAGCAGAAAAAAAAAAAAAGAUCUAAAGAAAAAGACCCAUGAAUCUUCUUACUAUUUUGCCAUCAGCAGAAAAUGCCAUGUCAGGAGGCAAACUUGAAGACUCACAUUAAGUGAAUGGAGGACACUUACUGAAGUGUAUUAAUGUAACACCUGUAUCUUAUCAAAGAACCCAAAGAUUAAACCAUCUAACUCUUAAAAGUAUUAAAAACAUGCAAAAUAGAGCCAGCAAUAUAAGGUAGUCCCUUCCAGCUGACUGCAUUUUAUUUGUGAAGUGUAUAAAAUGUUUUCACACUCUGAAAUCAUUUUCAGAUAUUCAACAAUUUCCUGAAAUGGUUAGCAGUUCCUUUAAAGAGGUAAUCACCAGCCCUUGAGCUAUAUGACAUAAAAAUGUGCAUAUACAAGGACUAUUUUCAAAGGGCAGAAUACAAAUAGAUCUGCUUAUGCCCCACACAUCAUCAAACAAUUGCUUUUUCCUAAUACAUGUUCUGCUGGAGAAAGGCACACGAUUCUAGUCCAUUCCAUUAUUUAAUUCCAGAUGACUCACUCCAGUCUCAAAACUUCUGAAAUGAAUCCUUCAUUUAAGGGCAAUUACAUAUAUAUAUUCAUUUAACUUUAGUUACCGUGUGUUGAGCAUUCUGAUUAGAACCAGCAUCUUCCUUUUGAUGCAUGCAGUCACUUUUUUUUUAAUAUGAAGAUAGCAAAAGUCUUUUGAAGUUUCCAGGAAAAAUACAUCUACAUGAACAGAAAAAAAUCCAUCACUUGAUUUUGUUAUUAAAUGAUUUUUCUUUGUGCUUCCA